This 29-nucleotide non-coding RNA is filed under the name Mus musculus (house mouse). The record is from RNAcentral. Lineage: Eukaryota; Metazoa; Chordata; Mammalia; Rodentia; Muridae.
UCGGUGGCCAUCCUCAACGUCGGGAGUGA